GACGAACGCUGGCGGCGUGCUUAACACAUGCAAGUCGAACGGAAAGGCCCUGCUUUUGUGGGGUGCUCGAGUGGCGAACGGGUGAGUAACACGUGAGUAACCUGCCCUUGACUUUGGGAUAACUUCAGGAAACUGGGGCUAAUACCGGAUAGGAGCUCCUGCUGCAUGGUGGGGGUGGGAAAGUUUCGGCGGUUGGGGAUGGACUCGCGGCUUAUCAGCUUGUUGGUGGGGUAGUGGCUUACCAAGGCUUUGACGGGUAGCCGGCCUGGGAGGGUGACCGGCCACAUUGGGACUGAGAUACGGCCCAGACUCCUACGGGAGGCAGCAGUGGGGAAUAUUGCACAAUGGGCGGAAGCCUGAUGCAGCAACGCCGCGUGCGGGAUGACGGCCUUCGGGUUGUAAACCGUUUUCGCCUGUGACGAAGCGUGAGUGACGGUAAUGGGUAAAGAAGCACCGGCUAACUACGUG
This 468-nucleotide ribosomal RNA is filed under the name uncultured bacterium. RNAcentral describes it as "partial 16S ribosomal RNA". It matches the Rfam family "Bacterial small subunit ribosomal RNA", at positions 28 to 507 of the family's 1533-position model. The record is from RNAcentral.